RNAcentral lists this ribosomal RNA (451 nucleotides) under uncultured bacterium. RNAcentral's name for it is "bacterial SSU rRNA". It matches the Rfam family "Bacterial small subunit ribosomal RNA", at positions 328 to 793 of the family's 1533-position model. The record is from RNAcentral.
UUCCCAGACUCCUACGGGAGGCAGCAGUGGGGAAUAUUGGGCAAUGGGCGCAAGCCUGACCCAGCAACGCCGCGUGAAGGAAGGAGGCUUUCGGGUUGUAAACUUCUUUUCUCAGGGACGAAGAAAGUGACGGUACCUGAGGAAUAAGCCACGGCUAACUACGUGCCAGCAGCCGCGGUAAUACGUAGGGAGCAAGCGUUGUCCGGAAUUACUGGGCGUAAAGGGCGCGUAGGUGGGCGCUUAAGUCAGGUGUGAAAACUCCGGGCUCAACCUGGAGACUGCACUUGAAACUGGGUGUCUUGAGGGCAGGAGAGGAAAGUGGAAUUCCUAGUGUAGCGGUGAAAUACGUAGAUAUUAGGAGGAACACCAGUGGCGAAGGCGGCUUACUGGACUGUAACUGACGUUGAGGCUCGAAAGCGUGGGGAGCAAACAGGAUUAGAUACCCCUGUAG